RNAcentral lists this ribosomal RNA (405 nucleotides) under uncultured bacterium. Its description in RNAcentral is "bacterial SSU rRNA". It matches the Rfam family "Bacterial small subunit ribosomal RNA", at positions 32 to 418 of the family's 1533-position model. The record is from RNAcentral.
AAUCAACGCUGGCGGCGUGCCUCAGACAUGCAAGUCGAACGCGAAAGUCUCCUCCGGGGGACAAGUAGAGUGGCGCACGGGUGAGUAACACGUAGGUAAUCUACCUUCGGAUGGGGAAUAACAACCGGAAACGGUUGCUAAUACCGCAUAAUGCAGCGGCACCUAAUGGUGACAGUUGUUAAAGCGGGGGAUCGAAAGACCUCGCGUCUGAAGAGGAGCCUGCGGCGGAUUAGCAGUUGGUAGGGUAACGGCCUACCAAGGCGACGAUCCGUAGCCGGCCUGAGAGGGCGGUCGGCCACACUGACACUGACAUACGGGUCAGACUCCUACGGGAGGCAGCAGUCGGGAAUUUGGGCAAUGGGCGAAAGCCUGACCCAGCAACGCCGCGUGAAGGAUGAAAUCCCU